GCAAAAUGAUGAUACUCCCACUUCUGGUCCGUGUUUCUGAAUCCUGAUUAGAUGGAAGUCCUGAACCA
Molecule: small nucleolar RNA, 68 nt
Filed under: Hippocampus comes (tiger tail seahorse)
Lineage: Eukaryota; Metazoa; Chordata; Actinopteri; Syngnathiformes; Syngnathidae
Description: Small nucleolar RNA SNORD18 (ENSHCOG00000000650.1)
Rfam family: Small nucleolar RNA SNORD18
About the family: U18 is a member of the C/D class of snoRNA which contain the C (UGAUGA) and D (CUGA) box motifs. It is encoded in introns of ribosomal protein L1 in Xenopus and human, and in introns of elongation factor 1 beta in yeast. Related snoRNAs in Arabidopsis and rice have been named R63 and Z106 respectively.
Source: RNAcentral